GACGAACCGUCCCAAACGUUAUUCGGAAUUACUGGGCUUAAAGGGUGCGUAGGCGGCGCGGAAAGUUGGGUGUGAAAUCCCUCGGCUCAACCGAGGAACUGCGCUCAAUACUACCGUGCUCGAGGGAGAUAGAGGUGAGCGGAACUUAGGGUGGAGCGGUGAAAUGCGUUGAUAUCCUAAGGAACACCGGUGGCGAAAGCGGCUCACUGGAUCUCUUCUGACGCUGAGGCACGAAAGCUAGGGUAGCGAACGGGAUUAGAAA
RNAcentral lists this ribosomal RNA (262 nucleotides) under uncultured bacterium. Its description in RNAcentral is "partial 16S ribosomal RNA". It matches the Rfam family "Bacterial small subunit ribosomal RNA", at positions 524 to 784 of the family's 1533-position model. The record is from RNAcentral.